Molecule: ribosomal RNA, 497 nt
Filed under: uncultured bacterium
Lineage: Bacteria
Description: partial 16S ribosomal RNA
Rfam family: Bacterial small subunit ribosomal RNA
Source: RNAcentral
GACGAACGCUGGCGGCGUGCCUAAUACAUGCAAGUAGAACGCUGAAGAGAGGAGCUUACUCUUCUUGGAUGAGUUGCGAACGGGUGAGUAACGCGUAGGUAACCUGCCUUGUAGCGGGGGAUAACUAUUGGAAACGAUAGCUAAUACCGCAUAACAAUGGAUGACACAUGUCAUUUAUUUGAAAGGGGCAAUUGCUCCACUACAAGAUGGACCUGCGUUGUAUUAGCUAGUAGGUGAGGUAAUGGCUCACCUAGGCGACGAUACAUAGCCGACCUGAGAGGGUGAUCGGCCACACUGGGACUGAGACACGGCCCAGACUCCUACGGGAGGCAGCAGUAGGGAAUCUUCGGCAAUGGGGGCAACCAUGACCGAGCAACGCCGCGUGAGUGAAGAAGGUUUUCGGAUCGUAAAGCUCUGUUGUAAGUCAAGAACGGGUGUGAGAGUGGAAAGUUCACACUGUGACGGUAGCUUACCAGAAAGGGACGGCUAACUACGUG